UCUAGCCAAAAGCAUUCCCGUGCCUUGUCAGUCCUGGGAGGAGUACGGGGAGGAGGUGGAGCUGGGGGUCCUGCAAGCAGGGACUAGAGAUUCAGCCUGGGCAGCAGCCAGGGGAGACCAGGAGCUGGGGUUGAAGAGCAUGAGGCCACACUUUUCCCUACAUAUGACGCAGCUGGUGCAUUUGGCCUGCGCAAGGGGAGAUGUGGGUGACGGGCUGGGAGUUGAGCUGUAGAAAGGAGAGUGGCUGCCUUACAGGGACAGCUAAAGAGUAUGCAGGACUGUAGGCAGAGAACUAGAUCCCUGGGAAGGAAAUGAAGGCUUCUAACGGGCAUCGUCAGGACCGGGGCCAUUGAAUCUACUGACUUCCCCUUGGCCAAGAGCAUAGGACAAACAUGAUCCAGGGACCCCUAUGGAAGGUUUACUCAGCUGGCCCCCACCAGUCAUCAGCCUCCUGGGGCCAGAGAGAUGGCUCAGAAGUCAAAAGCACUGGCUGUUCUUCUUGAAGAUGGUGUUUGAUCCCAAGCACCCAAGAUUUCGCAUUAAUCACGUGAAACUCCAGUUCCAGGGGAUCUGAUGCCCUCUCCUGGCCUUCUCCAGUACUACAAGUGGUGCAGAAAAAAACACCCACAUGCACAAAUGGUAAGAAAAGACAGCUUCCUCCUCAGUUCUUAUCCAUGUGUGCCACCACCUUCCCAGUUGUGCUAAGCAUAGGGGACAGUGUGCAGCAUAGUAGAAAUGUCGUCUUUAGCGAAGCCGGUGCAGAUGUGACCAAAGCGAAGUGCUCAGCCCUCAAAGGUCUUUGGGGCCUAGAAAACUCGCUGAAACACGACUGUGCUUUGCAUCCUAGCUCUGUCGCCUGCAGACCAUGAGCAGUCAAAUUGCUUAACUUUUGACCUGUUUCCACAUCUAAGAACUAGAUAAUUCUAGCUUGUGUCAAACUGAAGCAAGCAAGCAAACAAACAAAAACCCCACAAAACCCAGGACAUGGAUCUUGUGGAGUCUGAAGAGAACCGAAGUUGGGAACACAGACCUGGCAGCAUCGCAUCCAUCUGGACAGAACCCAGCUUGGCUCUGCUACUCAGCUACACGAGCAUCUCCAGGAGCAACAUUCUCCUCAUCUGCAGCUCCCACUGCACGUGCUGCCAACACUCCUUCUCCAGCGCUAUGUCUGCCUGCGUGGUGCCAUGCUCCCUCCAUGAUGAUAAUGGACUGAACCUCUGAAGUAAGUGUAGUGGGAUUGUGUGCAGUGCGGCAUUCUGCAAGCAGGUGCAUCUGUGCCCCUAAAGCUAUACCCAAGCAAAUGGAAAUGUUACGUUUAUGUCCCAGUUGGAAUCUGGAGAAAGCCUUUGACUAAGGCAACCCAACACAGCAGUGCGGUGUCUCUGGGCUCUUGUUUCCUGAGAGAAACUGACAACCAGAGUCCUUCACAGUCUUUUGUUUUCUUUUUCAGUUUAAUUUUUUAUUUUAUGUGUAUGGGUGUUGUGCUUGGGUGUAUGUCUGUGCACCUCUUGUGUGCCUGUGGGGGACAGGGGUAGGCUUCGGAUGUCCUGAGACUGCAGUUACAGAUCGCUGUGAGCUGCCAUGUGGGUUCCAGGGAGAGCAGCCACUGCUCCUAACUGUUGAAGCAAGUUUCCAGCCCCGUAGCCAUGGACUUUAGACUUUACUGCCUCACCACACUCUUCUUCUCCCCCCCCCCUCCCGGCCCCAGUACUCCCCUCUUCC
Molecule: long non-coding RNA, 1722 nt
Filed under: Mus musculus (house mouse)
Lineage: Eukaryota; Metazoa; Chordata; Mammalia; Rodentia; Muridae
Description: predicted gene, 35569
Source: RNAcentral